CCGUAGCCCAAGAGAUCGGGAUAACACCUGGAAACAGAUGCUAAUACCGGAUAACAACAGAUGAUGCCUAUCAACUGUUUAAAAGAUGGUUCUGCUAUCACUCUUGGAUGGACCUGCGGUGCAUUAGCUAGUUGGUAGGGUAACGGCCUACCAAGGCGAUGAUGCAUAGCCGAGUUGAGAGACUGAUCGGCCACAUUGGGACUGAGGCACGGCCCAAACUCCUACGGGAGGCAGCAGCC
This 239-nucleotide ribosomal RNA is filed under the name uncultured Lactobacillus sp. RNAcentral's name for it is "partial 16S ribosomal RNA". It matches the Rfam family "Bacterial small subunit ribosomal RNA", at positions 125 to 355 of the family's 1533-position model. Lineage: Bacteria; Bacillati; Bacillota; Bacilli; Lactobacillales; Lactobacillaceae. The record is from RNAcentral.